RNAcentral lists this long non-coding RNA (392 nucleotides) under Physcomitrium patens. RNAcentral describes it as "long non-coding RNA (PPAT_LNC014433)". The record is from RNAcentral. Lineage: Eukaryota; Viridiplantae; Streptophyta; Bryopsida; Funariales; Funariaceae.
UUUUUGAGCAUUUAGACACAAUAGAAUUGUUACAAUAUAUUACACGGGUCUAAACAUCUUUAAGUAACUACUUUUAUAAGUUGUAUAUUUUUUUUGAGUUUGGUGUAAAAAAAUUCAUUAUAAAAGAAGAAAAAGAAAAAAAAAAUGGAAAAAGAGUAAGAGAGAGAAGAAGAAAAAAGUGAAGAAAAAAACAAAAUAGAUAGCAAAGAAGACAAAGAAGAAGAGAAUAAAGUAGAGAGACACAAGUGGUGAAUUGUGAGAGAUGAGUUGCAAGUAGUGAAACAAGUAAUAUGGAGAGAACAAGAGAAACACAAGCAAUGAUUUAUAAUACAAAUAGUGAGUUGCAAUAAGAGCCAUGUCUAGUCAAUUCUUGAUUAGUUUAGCAAAUAAAC